This 69-nucleotide transfer RNA is filed under the name Rattus norvegicus (Norway rat). It matches the Rfam family "tRNA". From Rfam's summary of the family: Transfer RNA (tRNA) molecules are approximately 80 nucleotides in length. The record is from Rfam by way of RNAcentral. Lineage: Eukaryota; Metazoa; Chordata; Mammalia; Rodentia; Muridae.
GGGGAUUUAGCUCAGCGGUAGAGCACUUGCCUACCAAGCACAAGGCCCUGGGUUCGGUCCCCAGCUCCA